Molecule: RNA transcript, 3609 nt
Organism: Aethalodelphis obliquidens (Pacific white-sided dolphin)
Lineage: Eukaryota; Metazoa; Chordata; Mammalia; Artiodactyla; Delphinidae
Gene: UBE2V2
Gene name: ubiquitin conjugating enzyme E2 V2
Exons: 5
Source: RefSeq, a predicted model, not a curated record
AUCACCACCGCCAAGAUGCUAGGGAAAGGAUUCAGUGUUCAGAAUCGGCAUCACCUGCUUCAGGACUGGCCCGUAAGUGUCGACAGAAAGGUUGAAAGCGUUAAAGUUCCUCGUAAUUUUCGCUUGUUGGAAGAACUUGAAGAAGGACAAAAAGGAGUAGGCGAUGGUACGGUUAGCUGGGGCCUGGAAGAUGAUGAAGAUAUGACACUUACAAGGUGGACAGGCAUGAUUAUUGGGCCACCAAGGACAAAUUAUGAAAACAGAAUAUAUAGCCUGAAAGUAGAAUGUGGACCUAAAUACCCAGAAGCACCUCCAUCAGUUAGAUUUGUAACCAAAAUUAAUAUGAAUGGAGUAAAUAAUUCCAGUGGAAUGGUGGAUGCACGGAGCAUACCAGUGUUAGCAAAAUGGCAGAACUCAUACAGCAUUAAAGUUGUACUUCAAGAGCUAAGACGUCUAAUGAUGUCCAAAGAAAAUAUGAAGCUUCCACAGCCACCAGAAGGACAAACAUACAACAAUUAAUUUUAGUGGAUUUAAAACUUGUCUUAAAUCAACAACCUUCUAUUCAUGUUAAUGUCUUGAUUAAAUAUCACAAUGCAAAAUACCCACACAUUAAGUAAGAUAAUUCCAGCUGGUAAACAUGACCUGGACAUCUGUAAGAGUAUAUUUAAUAUAUGUACACCCAUUAUGUUUUCAGGUAACAGGAGGAAAAUUCAGCACAGUUUUUUUUCUUGUUAAGGCACCGUCAUUUAAGCAUGAACCUGGAGUACUCAGAGUGGAACUCAGGUUUCCAGGUGGAAGAACAGCAAGAAGUGUCAGAUGGCUGUGCAAGCAGAUGUGUUUCUGAAGAGAAAGCCCGAGAAGGAAAACCCAGAAUGGCGUGCUCUCGCUUAGUGAAAGAGCUUCCGUUGAAAUGAUCUAAAGUGGCAGUGGUGGGCUGAGAGCCUGGGCACCUUGACCUCUGGUCCACUCUCCUUUCCCCGCACCCGCUGUUGUGAAGGACUCCCCCCCACAGGUGUGUGUUGCCUUCGAAAUUUGGUUGAAAGGCUAGCAGGUGAGACUGUAGGGGAUGAUCAUGUGUUAAUAAAGAUUGCAAAAGUAAAAUAUUUGUCCUGUUAGGUCAGUGUUAUGCUUUAAUGGUUUUAAUUACUAAUUUUCAGAAUCCCUCAUUUAAAAAUAUUUUUUCUAGUAUUUUAAAGUAAUGGCAUUUGUUGUUACAGGUUUAUGUGUGACUUUUCAGGAUUUUGGAACAUAAACAUUUAUAAGAGGUGGUCAAUGGUAUUUGAGUUUUUUGGGUGUAAAAUUUUUUUAAAAAUUAUAAUUUUAAAUUAUCUUUUUAAAAGAAUUUAUCACACUUCAAAUUUGAGUAAGUGCCUGGGGAGUGAAUUAGUUUGAAUUGCAUAUGGUUUAUUAGUCUGGAUUACUUAAUGCCAAUUCAUUAAUUUAGCUUCUUCCCACUAAGUAUAUAUUGUUAUUGAUGAAUAUGCAUGAAAUUCAUAUUGUUUUGAAAAUUUAGAGUACAUGGCUGGAAAAUAUCAAUGUGUUUCCCACCCUGGAUUUGGUGUGAGACCAUGUGGGCGGCUCUGGAAGACGCAUCGUGAGGUAUAGACUUUGGUCAAAGCUGUGCUCACUCUUCUCGUGGGUACACAGCCGUGCUUGCAUGUACACGUUAAAGAGUGUAAAUGCAGAUGAUGCUGUCUAGUGUCAUGAAUAACAAUUUGGGGAGUUAUUUAAGGAAUUUUUUCCCCCAGAUUUUCUCGGUAAGUAUAUUUUUUAGACAUAUAUGUGAAGCAUUAUAGUAUAAUUAAUUGCUGGGAAGGAUCUAAAAGGCACUGAUUUCACUUUUCUGAGAAGUAACAAUAUGAUUUUCCAGUAACAACUUGAUUGGCUUUUGGUUGUGUUCACAAAAAGAUUGCAGCUCCGAAGAUUUUGGAAAGCAUUUGUAUUUUGUAUAUAAAACAGAAACAUUAUGAAAAGCAGUGGAUGCAGCGUAUUACAGGCUUGAUAGGAGCGUUAGCAGUUAAUUCCUACCCAGUACUGUGUUUAUUGACAAGCAAAAUGUAUGGAAAUAGAAUAUCUUUUAUGCUAAAAUUAAUAUGCCUCUUUGAAGUUACUAAACAGUAGAUGGAAAUCUUAUCAUAGGUCAUACUGAAAAUGUUGGCUAUUUUAAAAGUAUAGUGGAAUACUGAAAAGAUACACCAUAAGUAUUUUCUGAAGGGAAAAUUAUCGAGGUAUUUGCUGACACAGAAAAUAAAUGACAAGUCAAAACUGUCAUCCUGUGAAAUAAGGGAGUUUGAGGGAAUCAUGGAGUGAGUACGUGAUUUUAAAGAAUCACUGGAUGUGAAGAGGUUGCCCAUUGUGUUUACGUACAUCUCUAAUGGGACAUUCUCACCUAAAAAAUUCCUAAAGGUCCUCUGCAUUUCAUUUUUACAUGUAAUCUAAAGAUCAGUACAGAAUUUUUUCUGCAACUUCAUUUAUGAAAUCAGUGAUAAAAUCCAGAUAGAUUUCACUUUCUUAACUUAGAAACAUUCCAGGAAUCAUCCUUUCUCCAGUGGGUAGCUGACCAGAUACCAUGUAAGGAUUGUGCAGUGGCCCCUCUGCUCCAGAUGUAGACUUACCAUGUGAAUUCUUUUAUCUUGUCUUAGUUGAGUACUGAGCAGCUGCUUACAUCUGUCUGAGAUUUUGGCAGCCAAAAGAUUAUACAAAAGUAAAGGUAAUAUUCCACCUCCAAAGGAAGACUAAUCUCUGGCACUGAGAAACCAAUGAAGUGAGAAACCCCGUGGUCAGUAAAGAAGCAAAUCUUUGAAUUCAUUGAGAGUGAAAACUGUUCCUUGUUUGUUCAGUGCAGUUGAGUAAUUAAAAUAUUGUUCAGAGAUUAUGGGGAAACAUUAAACAAUGGAGUGUGUGUAUUCUUCCUUCAUCUGAUAUAAUAGCUUUUUUUUUUUAAACAGGCUUUUAACAAUAGAUAAUUUUACAGAGUAAUCUGGAAAAUUAACAGUGUAAUGUAAAGUGAGGUUUCGACAGGACACCUACAUUAAAAUGUAGUAAGAUUAGUUAUAAUACUUAAUGUCAUGUUUUUUGGGUCCAAAGACUCUUCCAAUCAACAAGCAUGGUAAUUGUGAGUGCUUUAUUACACAGGGUGAGACUUUAUAGCCUUUGUAGUUUGUCAGCCCUUAAUUUGAGGGAAAAAGGUAGAUUUUCUCCACAGUGGAUAACUGACAAAGAGAAAUGUAUUGUUUUACUGCUUCUCAAGCCACAUUGUCCAAAUAAGUAGUGAUUGCCAGAUGUCCAGAUGAUAUCCACUAUCAUAAAUUAUCUUUUUAUUGCUGUAAUUUAAAAAAUCAUCUUAAUACUCAAGUAAAAGUAAUUGAGUUCACAAGAAAAGUAAAAUAUCUAAUUGCCUGGGUUUCUUAAUCUUGAGUAACAUACGGACUUCUUUAAGGAGAACAGUAAUUCUUUUGGACUCAGUAUUGUCUUGAAUUAUUUUUGUUAAAACAUUGUUUAAUGCAUACAAUUGUAUCAAUGCAAAUGUAUAAACUUCUUAGUCCUAUAAGAUUAUAAAGCAAAUUAACCCAAUUACAUAGUAAUUAAAAUGUAAAAGACUUUAAUAUU